UACGUAGGGUCCAAGCGUUAUCCGGAAUUAUUGGGCGUAAAGAGCGUGUAGGUGUUCUUACAAGUCGGUCGUUAAAUCUCAGAGCCUAACUCUGAGACCGCGAGCGAUACUGUAAGAAUUGAGGUUUACAGGGGCAAGCAGAAUUUCUGGAGUAGGGGUGAAAUCCGUUGAUACCAGAAGGAAUACCAAUGGCGAAGGCAGCUUGCUGGGUAAUACCUGACACUGAGACGCGAAAGCGUGGGGAGCAAACAGG
Molecule: ribosomal RNA, 253 nt
Filed under: uncultured bacterium
Lineage: Bacteria
Description: partial 16S ribosomal RNA
Rfam family: Bacterial small subunit ribosomal RNA
Source: RNAcentral